This 460-nucleotide ribosomal RNA is filed under the name uncultured bacterium. Its description in RNAcentral is "partial 16S ribosomal RNA". It matches the Rfam family "Bacterial small subunit ribosomal RNA", at positions 338 to 795 of the family's 1533-position model. The record is from RNAcentral.
CCUACGGGAGGCAGCAGUGAGGAAUAUUGGUCAAUGGCCGUAAGGCUGAACCAGCCAAGUCGCGUGCAGGAAGAAGGAUCUAUGGUUUGUAAACUUCUUUUAUAGGGGAAUAAAGGUAUCCACGUGUGGCUAUUUGCAUGUACCCUAUGAAUAAGCAUCGGCUAACUCCGUGCCAGCAGCCGCGGUAAUACGGAGGAUGCGCGCGUUAUCCGGAUUUAUUGGGUUUAAAGGGUGCGUAGGUUGUUUUUUAAGUCAGCGGUGAAAGUUUGUGGCUCAACCAUAAAAUUGCCGUUGAAACUGGAAGACUUGAGUUUGUUUGAGGUAGGCGGAAUGCGUGGUGUAGCGGUGAAAUGCAUAGAUAUCACGCAGAACUCCGAUUGCGAAGGCAGCUUACUAAGCCAUAACUGACACUGAAGCACGAAAGCGUGGGGAUCAAACAGGAUUAGAUACCCUUGUAGUC